This 393-nucleotide ribosomal RNA is filed under the name Salmonella enterica subsp. enterica serovar Montevideo str. CFSAN004346. RNAcentral's name for it is "bacterial LSU rRNA". It matches the Rfam family "Bacterial large subunit ribosomal RNA", at positions 1036 to 1427 of the family's 2925-position model. Lineage: Bacteria; Pseudomonadati; Pseudomonadota; Gammaproteobacteria; Enterobacterales; Enterobacteriaceae. The record is from RNAcentral.
CAGCUAAGGUCCCAAAGUCAUGGUUAAGUGGGAAACGAUGUGGGAAGGCCCAGACAGCCAGGAUGUUGGCUUAGAAGCAGCCAUCAUUUAAAGAAAGCGUAAUAGCUCACUGGUCGAGUCGGCCUGCGCGGAAGAUGUAACGGGGCUAAACCAUGCACCGAAGCUGCGGCAGCGACGCUUAUGCGUUGUUGGGUAGGGGAGCGUUCUGUAAGCCUGCGAAGGUGGCCUGUGAGGGUUGCUGGAGGUAUCAGAAGUGCGAAUGCUGACAUAAGUAACGAUAAAGCGGGUGAAAAGCCCGCUCGCCGGAAGACCAAGGGUUCCUGUCCAACGUUAAUCGGGGCAGGGUGAGUCGACCCCUAAGGCGAGGCCGAAAGGCGUAGUCGAUGGGAAACG